UGAACUCCACAUCCGCAUCCUUUGCUGAGGAUACGGUUAACGGAGCGAAAGCGACGUUCAACCGCAAAACAAGCAGAGGGGGCUUAGUGGUGGGGUGACUGCGUACCUUUUGUAUAAUGGGUCAGCGACUUAUAUUCUGUAGCAAGGUUAACCGUAUAGGGGAGCCGGAGGGAAACCGAGUCUUAAUUGGGCGUUAAGUUGCAGGGUAUAGACCCGAAACCCGGUGAUCUAGCCAUGGGCAGGUUGAAGGUUGGGUAACACUAACUGGAGGACCGAACCGACUAAUGUUGAAAAAUUAGCGGAUGACCUGUGGCUGGGGGUGAAAGGCCAAUCAAACCGGGAGAUAGCUGGUUCUCCCCGAAAGCUAUUUAGGUAGCGCCUCGUGAAUUCAUCUCCGGGGGUAGAGCACUGUUUCGGCUAGGGGGCCAUCCCGGCUUACCAACCCGAUGCAAACUGCGAAUACCGGAGAAUGUUAUCACGGGAGACACACGGCGGGUGCUAACGUCCGUCGUGAAGAGGGAAACAACCCAGACCGCCAGCUAAGGUCCCAAAGUCAUGGUUAAGUGGGAAACGAUGUGGGAAGGCCCAGACAGCCAGGAUGUUGGCUUAGAAGCAGCCAUCAUUUAAAGAAAGCGUAAUAGCUCACUGGUCGAGUCGGCCUGCGCGGAAGAUGUAACGGGGCUAAACCAUGCACCGAAGCUGCGGCAGCGAACGUAUCACCCAAGACAACUUUACGGAGUUGACGAUUGACGGAGCGAAGCGACGUCAAAGCGUUCAUUAAAGUCGAGUUGGCUUAGGGAUACGUUCGUUGGGUAGGGGAGCGUUCUGUAAGCCUGUGAAGGUGUGUCGUGAGGCAUGCUGGAGGUAUCAGAAGUGCGAAUGCUGACAUAAGUAACGAUAAAGCGGGUGAAAAGCCCGCUCGCCGGAAGACCAAGGGUUCCUGUCCAACGUUAAUCGGGGCAGGGUGAGUCGACCCCUAAGGCGAGGCCGAAAGGCGUAGUCGAUGGGAAACGGGUUAAUAUUCCCGUACUUGGUGUUACUGCGAAGGGGGGACGGAGAAGGCUAUGUUGGCCGGGCGACGGUUGUCCCGGUUUAAGCGUGUAGGUGUGUGUUCCAGGUAAAUCCGGUUCACUUUAACACUGAGGCGUGACGACGAGGCACUACGGUGCUGAAGCAACAAAUGCCCUGCUUCCAGGAAAAGCCUCUAAGCAUCAGGUAACACGAAAUCGUACCCCAAACCGACACAGGUGGUCAGGUAGAGAAUACCAAGGCGCUUGAGA
Molecule: ribosomal RNA, 1280 nt
Filed under: Salmonella enterica subsp. enterica serovar Typhimurium
Lineage: Bacteria; Pseudomonadati; Pseudomonadota; Gammaproteobacteria; Enterobacterales; Enterobacteriaceae
Description: partial 23S ribosomal RNA
Rfam family: Bacterial large subunit ribosomal RNA
Source: RNAcentral